This 329-nucleotide unclassified non-coding RNA is filed under the name soil metagenome. RNAcentral's name for it is "partial contains 5.8S ribosomal RNA, internal transcribed spacer 2, and large subunit ribosomal RNA". The stretch from base 1 to 120 matches the Rfam family "5.8S ribosomal RNA", at positions 35 to 154 of the family's 154-position model. The record is from RNAcentral.
GAUGAAGAACGUAGCGAAAUGCGAUAAGUAGUGUGAAUUGCAGAAUUCAGUGAAUCAUCGAAUCUUUGAACGCACAUUGCGCCCCUUGGUAUCCCGAGGGGCAUGCCUGUUCGAGCGUCAUUUCACCACUCAAGCCUGACUUGGUGUUGGGCGACGUCCUCUUUGGGGACGCGCCUCGAAACGCUCGGCGGCGUGGCACCGGCUUUAAGCGUAGCAGAAUCUUUCGCUUUGGAAGUCGGGGCCCCGUCUGCCGGAAGACCUGCUCGCAAGGUUGACCUCGGAUCAGGCAGGGAUACCCGCUGAACUUAAGCAUAUCAAUAAGCGGAGGA